AACAAACACCUAAACGUAUGUAGCCUAGUCAAACCUUACAAGAAACCGAAAACUUUCAACAACGGAUCUCUUGGUUCUCGCAUCGAUGAAGAGCGCAGCGAAAUGCGAUACCUAGUGUGAAUUGCAGCCAUCGUGAAUCAUCGAGUUCUUGAACGCACAUUGCGCCCCUUGGUAUUCCAGGGGGCAUGCCUGUUUGAGCGUCGUUUCCUUCUUGCGCAAGCAGAGUUGGCGGGGGCAGCGAUGCCGCCGCUGAAAAGGAGCGAUUGCGGACGCGAGCGAACUAAAGUGGUUGCGCUUGGCCGCCGAACUUAUACACUAAGCUCGACCUCAAAUCAGGUAGGAAUACCCGCUGAACUUAAGCAUAUCAAUAAGCGGAGGAAAAGAAACCAACAGGGAUUGCCUCAGUAGCGGCGAGUGAAGCGGCAAGAGCUCAGAUUUGAAAUCGUGUUUCGGCACGAGUUGUAAAUUGCAGGUUGGAGUCUUUGUGGAGGCGUGUGUCUAAGUCCCUUGGAACAGGGCGCCAUUGAGGGUGAGAGCCCCGUGAGACGCGCGCGGAAGCUUUAAGGCCCUUCUGACGAGUCGAGUUGUUUGGGAAUGCAGCUCUAAGUGGGUGGUAAAUUCCAUCUAAGGCUAAAUAUUGGCGAGAGACCGAUAGCGAACAAGUACUGUGAAGGAAAGAUGAAAAGCACUUUGAAAAGAGAGUGAAACAGCACGUGAAAUUGUUGAAAGGGAAGGGUAUUGGGCUCGACAUGGGAUUUGCGCACCGCUGCUCCUUGUGGGCGGCGCUCUGGGCUUUUCCUGGGCCAGCAUCGGUUUCCGCUGCAGGAGAAGGGGUGCCGGAAUGUGGCUCUUCGGAGUGUUAUAGCCGGCGCCAGAUGCUGCGUGUGGGGACCGAGGACUGCGGCUUCUGUCUCGGAUGCUGGCACAACG
Molecule: small RNA, 930 nt
Filed under: Pichia exigua
Lineage: Eukaryota; Fungi; Ascomycota; Pichiomycetes; Pichiales; Pichiaceae
Description: eukaryotic LSU rRNA
Rfam family: Eukaryotic large subunit ribosomal RNA (bases 323-930)
Source: RNAcentral